UUUAUUUUCCUUCCAGUGGAGAAGAACCACAGUGUCUUUCCCAUGAUCUGUAGGAAAUCUCAAACCAUACCUGAGAUAUAGUUUAGACAUUUUGCAACAAUUUUAUAGACCGGUUUCCUUAGACCAAAGUUCUUAACAUUUCUAUAUUAACGUUAUUGUGCGUCUCCCCUGCAAGGUGGGGUCCAUCAUCCAACCUGCACUAAGCCAGUACAGCAAUUAAUUAUCUGUCUGAACAUUUGUAUUCUGCUUACAAACUCAUGAAUUAUUCAGAUUUAUCUUAUUCAGGACCAGGUUUUCCUUUUAACCUCAACUGCAAACCAGCUGUCCAUCAAUUGUGAUGUGCUCAUACCUUAGGGUGAUGAGAGCAGCAGAAAAGCCUAAAUGGCUUGCUAGAAAGUGCUACCAGUAAAAUAGAGAUGUAUUUCAUUAGUGUUGGGAGGAUUGGCAGCUCUUUAAUUGUAUGAAUCACCCAAUGGGUGUGUUCCCAAAGCCAAUCGGAGCGUGCCAGUUCAGUAGAGCCACAGUGAGCAACGCUGUGCUGCGUCAUUCGGCAUUCUCCAGUGAGUGAUUAAAUCCAUGUCAUUUGUAAUAAAUCAAACGUUGUCACAGGGUCAAUCUUGUGGGUCAUGCUAGGUUAUCAUGGUGAUUUUGCACUGGUUAUAUCAGGUACUGCUGUGUCACACAGUUUUUUUCGAGGCCAUGCUGUGUUCCUCAGAUACCAUCUCUUGAACUCACCACGAGCCCUGUUGGAGCACAUCAGGGGAAUUAUGAGAAGAGUUUGCUGCACAGCCUUCUAGUGCACCUGGUUAUGGCCUCCUCUUAUGGCUGAAGUAUUUCUUCCCUGGAAAAUGUGCGUUUGUCUCAUUUAUUAGUUUGAACAGACACUGUGAUAUUUGUGAUCUUCUCCUCUAAAACAACACCAGCCCAAGGCCCAAAACAAGUAAGAUCUAGUCUCGAGGCAGUGGCUUCUUUUUUUCUCCGACAGAAAACAUUAUGCUAUUUCAGUUAAUUGUAUUGCUGCCUGACUCCAUGGAGUCAGAAAGAGAUCCUGCCCUCUGCUAACGUUGCUGCACAUCGGCAGUUUAAAUUUCCUAUUAUCAGAAACCCUCACAUAGCCGAGAAAUGCAUAAACCUCCCCUCAAUUAGGGGAUGUGGGCAAAAGACGAACAGUACAAGAAACAAGGCAUCAUGUCCUAGGAGUCCCCUACUUCAGUGGUCCCUUGUUUUCAGUUAUGAUUUGGUCAGGUAUGUGUUACAACAGCCCUGAGGUACUCCAGCUUGCAUCAGAGACUAAGCCAAUCUCUUCUGGUCUGAUGCUCAGAAAAAUACCAACACGGCACAAAGCCACCUUUAACCCCCACACCAUCCAUCCUGCUCCAGAUACCACUGAAAAAGCUGGAAAUCCACAGCUUCCCUACAGAGGUCGUUUUGAAUGGCAGGACUUUAAAAUGUUGACAUUUUUAUGCAUAAAAAGACUAUUUUAGGAUUUUUUUUAAGAAAAAUUUUGGCCUUCUGUGAGGUCUGUGUAGUUGUUGAGUAAUAACUGAUGUUUACUUUCACAGAAAAUGAAUGUAAGAAUAGUCUCAAUAACAUUUUUAAACCUCUCAAAAUAAAUUUAUUUUCCAUUACACACCUGACCCCUCCAGAAUACAGAGUGGCAGAUCAUGGUGUGAAAGUUUUGCUGGUACCAAUCAAGAUGACAUUCCAAACCCACUAGUGCCUUCCCUGGUCAGGUAAACAAAGGCUAACAGAUGAUUUAGUGAAAGCAAUGUCCCAGUUUUCAUCAGUAAAACCGAUGCUGCUGAUGAUGUUUCAACUUGUGCUGUCUAUGCAUGCUGUUCUCUGCUCAGAGCAAUAGAAGCCAUUCUGGUAGUGCAUGUUUUUUCACCCCUUGAUGCAUUUCAUUACCCAGUGUCCCUGGAGCACAAGAAAAUUGUCCCAUGCCCAUUCUAUAUGUGGAAAAUUUCAGACAUGGGAAGGUUAAGUGGUUAGCCAAGUAUACACAAAGACUGCAGCAGAGCUCAACUCACUUUUCAUCAAGUCUUAAGUCCAUAUCCAGAUCAUUCCACCAUCCUUCCACAGUGCUGUUUACCUGGCCCCACUGCCUAUCAGACCACAGAAGGGCAUUGUCUGUUUUCCAAGUGUGAAGUACAUAGAUGAUCUCUAAAGCACCAUGGAAAUGUCAUGGAUUGCAAUCAGUAAUGUAUUAGAGCUGAUUCAAGCCCUACAGUAAUUCUUGCAAGCUCCCAGAUCCUUUGAACAUAGGAGGUCUCUGCAGGAGUCGCAUCAGAUCUUGCUGGUCUUCUAUUAGAGCCAGUGAGAGAGCCGGGGAAAAAGUUAUUCCCUCUGCAAUUGAAAUCAAACUCAUAUUUUCCUCAGCAGAGCUAUUUUAAGUUGUUCAUUAUUAUCUUUUUUCUCUCCAAAGCAAAGCCUUUUUGAUACUCAGAGAUUGUUAGAACCAAAGGGGAAAGAGAGAACACCAGGGUAUUGUUCUUGCUGCAGUUGCAGACUUAUUUGGUACCUAAAAAAGAGAUUUUCUUAAAGAAAAAACCAACUCUACAAUGCUUUGAGUGAGAAGAAGAAAACAGCAAGGAAAAAAAAGAAAAAUAAAAUCCAUACUGUUGAAGUCUUGGGCAGUGUCAGGGAAGUAAGGCCUGGAGCUGACAUAUUGGAUCCAAUCCAUAGCUACUACAAGUGACCAUAAACCACUGAUUCUUAUGUUCAGCAAUGAUGCAUGUAAGGCUAAGAUGCAGAUUAUCUCAUUUAACCCUUGUGAUGUAAGAAGAAUCCGAUACUGAAUUCCUGCAUACGUCUGUGACAGAUGGUGUUUAACAGCAACAACAGGAACUCUGGGUUUGUCUUUCCACAUCUUGCUGGAUCCCAGCUUUCUCCUCAAUGUUUCCAUGUCAGUUGUAACUCACCUGGAGAAAUUCUCAGGUGUGACUUCCUACUGCAAAAUGAAGACAUGGAAAUACAUGCGCAUUAAGUUGCCAAACAGCCUUAUGUUUGCCAUGUGAUGCAGGCAAAGACACGGUUUGGCACCUCAUGUGUUUCUUCCGCACACCAGCACGUGGAAUAAUCUCACCGUCCUCCAUUCAUUUCUUUCUCCACCUGCUUGUCUGUGUUUUGUUUUUUUUUUUUCUCAUUUAUGUUCAGCAGGUGUCUCCAAUUCCCAAACAUGUUCCCAGAUCUUUUCCAAUGUCAGCUGUGGAGCUAAAAAGGGAUUUUCUGAAUUUGAUUGAUCAGGUUGUCACAAACCUGGCUAGCAGCCAUUUGUUGGACACUAAUCAGAUUGCUGCCACAGAAUCCAGCCGCUGAGUUUCCAAUGUGCUUUUAGCCUCUGGGGCAUAAAGAGAGACAAAAGCACUACACCUGACUGGGUAUCUCCAGGAAUGUUUGAGGGGCACAGAGCUUCUAUCGACCAUCCCUUCCUGACAACUUGACCUCCUACUGCAGUUGCCUCUCCCUGCAGGCUCACACAACUUCCCAGGUAGCUUAAGUGCAGCCUUUUUACAGAAUCCUAUCAUGAGACAUGAGCAUUUUGGCUUAUGCUUUCAUUUAUCAGGCACUGCUAGAUGUAACACAUCUGUAAUAAAGAUGAACUUCGCAUAUAAUGUCUGAACCCAUCAUCUCUCAGGAAAUACAGAUCGUGAGAAAACAAUAAACACUCUCCUUUUGACUUGAUGGGAGAUCUCCUCCCUUCAGAUGCCUGUUGAUAAUUUGUCUUUUUUGAUUGUGGUUAUUCCCCUCAUCAAACUAGGCUUUUUUCUUUGAAAAACCAUUCACUCCCCUCUCUGACAUCCAUUCUUUCUUGACUCUUGAUGAAGUUUCCUGUUUUGUUUCUCAACCAAGUCUUUCUUUAAUCUUUUCCAUCCUUACAUGGCUUUGUUCAGCUUUUUCCAAUGUGCAUAGGGCUCAGCAACCCCACCACCCUUGAGUUCAGUCUCCAUUGUUGCCCUCCAGGGUUCAAGGACCAACUGCUGUCAAUGAUGUGUGAAGGACUCUUCUGCGUCAUAGUGAGCAGGCAUCCACAGUAAGUUACUCUCACAGUUACAGCAAAGUAAUAACACCAUGACAUCGAGGAGAGCACACAACUCAUGCAGAGGUCUCACAUCAACAUAAGGCUCAGGACCAGCUGUUCAACAGCUGGCACCCAGGGCAGAGGCAUUUAAACCUAGUGCUGUUCUAGUAGAGUUGCAGGCUCACUAAGUACAGUGACUCCGAAAGAGGUACAGAUAUUUAUCUCAACAAGCAAUUGAGGCCUUCAGCUGCUCAUUUGGCAAGUGUUCAGAGCUGUUGAUUCUGGAGGACACAUGCCCACCUGGAUCUCCUCUACCCAUUCAAGCACAAUGUGCAGGAGCUCAGAGUAAAAAGACAAGACCAAGACACAGCAAGUGCAUGCACAGAAAUGUCCUGACGUGCCUCUGAAGAAAGUUUAUGCCCCAGGCUGGAUAGGCAAGGAACUGGGGCUUCCUGGUGAUUUUAACAGUCAAUAAAUUUUGGAUUCUUGCUGCAAUUUCAUGUGAACUACAAGAUGUUUUGUUACUUUCCACCAGAAUGCAGCAACAUGCAGUGAAAUGCAUUGCUUUUUGGAUAUUGAGGCUGCUUCACUGGGAUUCUGAGAUUCCGAGAUUCCAAUUUCCCUGAUCUUCUCAGGUGUGGUGAGACCCAUGGCCACCCCAAGCUGAAUAAAACACCCUUGGCCUGA
Molecule: long non-coding RNA, 4708 nt
Organism: Pseudopipra pipra
Lineage: Eukaryota; Metazoa; Chordata; Aves; Passeriformes; Pipridae
Exons: 2
Source: RefSeq, a predicted model, not a curated record